GAUGAAGAACGCAGCGAAAUGCGAUAACUAAUGUGAAUUGCAGAAUUCCGUGAAUCAUCGAGUCUUUGAACGCACAUUGCGCCCCCUGGUAUUCCGGGGGGCAUGCCUGUCCGAGCGUCAUUACAACCCUCAAGCCCGGCUUGUGUAAUGGGCGGCCGUCUCUCCCCCCGGGGGGAGACGCCCCCGAAACUCAGUGGGGAUGUCGCGAUACCGAAGCCUCAGCUAAUGGGUAAACCACAGCUGCAAUGGCCGCGGCCGGCGUCCGCCUUCCACGGUCCGUCCGCCUAGCGCGGGCGGCCUUCUCAAGGUUGACCUCGGAUCAGGUAGGGAUACCCGCUGAACUUGAGCAUAUCAAUAAGCGGAGGA
Molecule: unclassified non-coding RNA, 366 nt
Filed under: soil metagenome
Description: partial contains 5.8S ribosomal RNA, internal transcribed spacer 2, and large subunit ribosomal RNA
Rfam family: 5.8S ribosomal RNA (bases 1-120)
Source: RNAcentral